UGUAACCAUCUCUCCAGCACAAGGACAGGUGGUGCCUCAUUCUCACAGCUGGUUUCUGACCAUGUAGUGCCAGUCAGUGACCUUGAGACAUGACCCUGCUCACCUGCGACAUGAAGGAGGAGGAGACCAGGGAUUUAUCAGCCACACCGACCCCCCUUGAUGGCUACAGGGAUCCAGGCGUGUUUGCCUCCUGGAAAUGUGCAGAAAAAUCCGUGACCCGUCUGAACCCACGUGGAGAAAACUGGAGGAGGAGUGAACUCAGGAUGGAUGAAUAAUGCCAAAGAUAAACACGUAAUAAAUAGGGCCAGCUCCCGCCGAGGCUCCAGGACCGCCAUGCCCCGCUAUUUGAUGUCCCCGGGCAGAGGCAGACAGGAAGGGCCAGCUUCCAGAGAGCCAAACACCAC
This 404-nucleotide long non-coding RNA is filed under the name Sus scrofa (pig). RNAcentral describes it as "lncRNA (ENSSSCG00070009763.1)". Lineage: Eukaryota; Metazoa; Chordata; Mammalia; Artiodactyla; Suidae. The record is from RNAcentral.